UACGUAGGGGGCUAGCGUUGUCCGGAAUCAUUGGGCGUAAAGCGCGUGUAGGCGGUCCGGUAAGUCCGCUGUGAAAGUCGGGGGCUCAACCCUCGGAUGCCGGUGGAUACUGUCGGGCUUGAGUACGGAAGAGGCGAGUGGAAUUCCUGGUGUAGCGGUGAAAUGCGCAGAUAUCAGGAGGAACACCGGUGGCGAAGGCGGCAUCCUGGACCAACACUGACACUGAUGAGCGAAAGCCAGGGGAGCAAACGGG
RNAcentral lists this ribosomal RNA (253 nucleotides) under uncultured bacterium. RNAcentral's name for it is "partial 16S ribosomal RNA". It matches the Rfam family "Bacterial small subunit ribosomal RNA", at positions 524 to 776 of the family's 1533-position model. The record is from RNAcentral.